This 433-nucleotide ribosomal RNA is filed under the name uncultured bacterium. RNAcentral describes it as "partial 16S ribosomal RNA". It matches the Rfam family "Bacterial small subunit ribosomal RNA", at positions 29 to 507 of the family's 1533-position model. The record is from RNAcentral.
AGCGAACGCUGGCGGCAGGCCUAACACAUGCAAGUCGAACGAACUCUUCGGAGUUAGUGGCGGACGUGUGAUUAACACGUGGGAACUUGCCUUUAGGUUCGGAAUAACUCAGGGAAACUUGUGCUAAUACCGCAUGUGCCCUUCGGGGGAAAGAUUUAUCGCCUUUAGAGCGGCCCGCGUCUGAUUAGCUAGUUGGUGAGGUAAAGGCUCACCAAGGCGACGAUCAGUAGCUGGUCUGAGAGGAUGAUCAGCCACAUUGGGACUGAGACACGGCCCAAACUCCGACGGGAGGCAGCAGUGGGGAAUCUUGCGCAAUGGGCGAAAGCCUGACGCAGCCAUGCCGGGUGAAUGAUGAAGGUCUUAGGAUUGUAAAAUUCUUUCACCGGGGACGAGAAUGACGGUACCCGGAGAAGAAGCCCCGGCUAACUUCGUG